RNAcentral lists this long non-coding RNA (763 nucleotides) under Corvus moneduloides (New Caledonian crow). RNAcentral's name for it is "lncRNA (ENSCMUG00000005784.2)". The record is from RNAcentral. Lineage: Eukaryota; Metazoa; Chordata; Aves; Passeriformes; Corvidae.
CUUUACUACAAUGUAAUGAACUCCUGAUAGCACCAGUGAAGUUGCCUUUUGGCCUGCCUCUUCCUUACAGCACAAAGAAGAGGAUGGACAUGGUAGGACAUCAGGGAAAUGCAUGAGCAGGGGAAAGAAGAAGAGGAAUAAACAGAAAGUAAAACUGGGUAAAAAAAAGGAAUUGGUGGAAGGAGAAGUGAUGUGGAGACACAGAGUAAACAGUGCAACACAAAAGAUGGUAACAAGAAGAAACGCCCUGUGGCAAAAGAAAGCAGAGAGAAAGCAAAGAAAACUGCAGCAAGCAGACAAAGCUGUACUGACUUUGGAGCUCGCAGGAUCAAGGGAUACUUCCAACAAGCAGUUUGGACACGGCCACCCUGCUCACCCACAGAAGCACAUCUCAGACACUCACCAGAAGGCCAGAAACAGCCCUCGGCUCUUUCUACUUGUUGACAUAGAUGGAGCUAAGGAAGACCUACAAACUGAUGGAGUUCAUUUCCCCACCUCUGUGGGCUGCACUCCACACCAGCUCCUAAGGGGUUUGGUCCUACUGACAGCAGAGAGGAGCAGUGGGUCUCCACCAUGUCACAGACUUUUUCCUGAUGAGACUCAGGCAAUUACAAGUGGGGAACAGAGCCUGAGCAUCAUCAGAGCACUGCUGACUCCACUUUGUUUGUUGGGUCUGUGCUCACCAACCUGGCACUGUGGUGCAGAGACUUCUGACUAAUUCAAGGAAGCAUCAUCCAGCAAAAUUUAUCACCUUAGGGCGAGC